Molecule: non-coding RNA, 27 nt
Filed under: Rattus norvegicus (Norway rat)
Lineage: Eukaryota; Metazoa; Chordata; Mammalia; Rodentia; Muridae
Source: RNAcentral
UGGUUGAUACAUCUGAGAAGGCUGGGA